CCCGGCGCCCCGCGCCGAGCAGGGUCUUGGGCUGUGGUUGUUUGUCUCCUGGGUUCCACCGGGGUCUCGGCCUGGAGCCCCGGUGCCUCCUGCAGACCCCUGCGCACCUCUGGCAGCCAGAAAACCGUCAGCUGCUUACAAAUUAAGUAUUUACUUUCUCCAAGCUAGUGCUGGGCAACCAUGGAAACACUAAGCUCUCUCCUGGGCUUUUUCUUCUGGGAGCUCAAGCCAGCUGGGGAGUGAUGUUAGGGGCUUUAAAUAUUAGGACUUAGAAGAUCCAUGAGAGGUAAUAAAUAAUAAACAUUAAACAUUUUCUGAAUGCCUGAACCUUUAAAGAAUGAUCUCAAUUUCAGUGAGUCGGAGAGCAUCCCAGACUGAGGAAAUAAGGAGGCCAGAAGAAGACUGGAGCCUGGCUUGGAGCCCACUUGUUUAUAAAAAAAACCAUGGUUGGAAAAGUAACCAAGGGGCAGGUUGCAAUGAGCCCAAAAAUGCCAGUAGGGAGUUGGGAUCCUCCUCAUCUUGCAGGAUGGAUUAAAAGGCCGAGAGCAUAUGGAGAGAGGGAAACAUUUGGAGGCUAGGGCAGGCUAGGGUUGCAGAUUGAGGCCCAGUUUGGGACUUUUUGCCUCCUAGAUCUGUAGCUCUAAGGCUGGCUGCAAACAGGAGUCCUUGCAAUGGACUCAGCUGGGCUCCCUGGCCUCGCUGAACAGAAGGAUGGAGGCCAGAGUGUCAAAGCAGUUCAUUAUGCAAGCCGCUGCUGCCCAGCCCCACCAGCUGGCAUCACGCAGGCAUUCGCUCAUUCAGCACUUACCAUCACCUACAAUGGCACCCAGGCUCUGGGCUUUAUUCAGCCCCCAAGGCUGCAUGCACUUGCUGUGCCUUUUGAAAGUGCUGAUUCUCAGCCUCUUCUCCCUCAGAGGCAGGAUGCAGUAUCUACAUCACCGCCCUCAUUCUAGCCUCCCAGCUACCAAGGCUGAGGUUUGGAGCUACGGCGUAAAACACCAGCUGGCAUUCGCUCAUUCAGCACUUACCAUCACCUACAAUGGCACCCAGGCUCUGGGCUUUAUUCAGCCCCCAAGGCUGCAUGCACUUGCUGUGCCUUUUGAAAGUGCUGAUUCUCAGCCUCUUCUCCCUCAGAGGCAGGAUGCAGUAUCUACAUCACCGCCCUCAUUCUAGCCUCCCAGCUACCAAGGCUGAGGUUUGGAGCUACGGCGUAAAACACCAGCUGGUAGGCUGGGCACCAAGCAUCGGCAACACACAGGGUGAAGAACUUGCCUUUUCUGUAAGGCAUGAGGACUGGAGCUGUUCCUGGCUGUGUCCCUGGCAGGAAGAAGAGGGAGGACAUGUCCACGCGGGUGUAGAGUAUGCCUUUUCCUGCUGUACCCGGCAGGCUUGAGCAGAAAGCACUUUGUCUUGGUGUGACAGUCUGUGGCAUCAUUAACCAGCAGGGGUGUGUGUGUGUACCCGCGUGCACGCAGGCAUGAGCUUGGUG
RNAcentral lists this long non-coding RNA (1489 nucleotides) under Sus scrofa (pig). Its description in RNAcentral is "lncRNA (ENSSSCG00015028261.1)". The record is from RNAcentral. Lineage: Eukaryota; Metazoa; Chordata; Mammalia; Artiodactyla; Suidae.